This is a long non-coding RNA of Bubalus bubalis (water buffalo), 3045 nucleotides long. RefSeq lists it as uncharacterized. The transcript is spliced from 3 exons. NCBI's taxonomy places the organism in Eukaryota, Metazoa, Chordata, Mammalia, Artiodactyla, Bovidae. The record is from RefSeq and is a predicted model, not a curated record.
AGGGUCUGCGGUUGUUUAAAAGAACAAAACAGAUGAUAAAAAUGCUGACAGUGAAGGACUGAUACAAGCUACCAUGUAUCAAGUGUUUACUACAUGCUAAGCACUGGACUAAAUGCUUUACCUGCACAACUUAUUUAAAACCUUGGGCAACCCAUGUAGGAAGAACUCCUAUUUGUCUCAUUUUUAAGUGACAAAUUGAGCCACAGAAUAUUCCAGAAACUUAGUCAAAGUCACACUGUAACUCAGUCAAGUUUGAACCUACAGCUUGAGAUAGCAGAAUGCUCUGAUUUCUCGUUAUAGAGAUUUCCAAUGAGAAAGAAAAAUACCAGCCUCUGAUGCCCUGAGAUGGCCUGACACUUACAGUCUGACUGAUUUCUUCUCAUUGGAAAUAAACAAUCUCAGAUACAGAAUAUCAACUUAAGACAAGGUUUUUCUGAGACCUUGAUAAAAUCAAUAAAAGAAGGCACCCUCAUAAUUUUGCCCAGAGGAAAAUAAGGUCACUGGGCAACCUACAAAAUCUCAAACAUCUUCCUCUUUUCAUAAGGAAAUAACUGCUACUUCCUUACUCCAGUCAUAGAAUUGUGCACACUAACAGUAUUCAAUAUGGAGCUAACCCUGUUUUUUCCAAUCUUUCCCCAAAUCACAAAUCACCCAACCAAGCCCAAAUCCUAUAAUAGGAUUACACCCAACCACACCUUGAAACCAAGUAUCCUGAAAGCCAAGUUCCUCUGGGAGUUUAUUUUUAAAUUAUCUAUAAAAAAUAUUAUGCCUUUUCUUGUCCAACACCUGAUCCUCUCAAGACUGAGUAUCAAAGAAAAGUGGGCCACUGACAUGGAACAGGACCCUGUGGGGCUCUCCUAUUUACAAAAGCCUUUCCAUGUCCCUCAUUUCAUAUUUGUUGGGGAAAAGUUUCAGCUCCCUAGACCUUCACUGGGUUUCAAAGGGCAGAUUCAAACUAAUUAAGUGAGGGAAUGCAGAGACAAAGACGAUCAAGAAAUAAUAAUACAUGUUCUGAGCUAAGGUUAGCCAAAAGGGGAAUAUGGCCAACAUUUAGACAUGGAGGUGAAGCAGCUGUUCUCUGAAGGUGGUUCACAGUAUCCAGCAGAUACCAGAUCACGACAGUCCCAAGCCCUACAGACACUUAGCAGCAGGUGCCAAGAGCUGACAGCUACAGUGUGACACGCCUUUCCUCAGACCUCCCUAAGCUUCACUUUGGUAGCUGGAAGCACUCGGACUGUUGGAUUGACAGGUUUGUUGACUCUUCAACUUCUCUCCUGAGUGGACAGGACUGAGCUACUCAACAACUUCCCUCCUGAGCUUUCACUUCACCAAUUCUUUCCACAGUUGGAAAGAAAGAAACAAUAAUGCAGCCAUGGGGCAGGGUCCAGGUUCCAACUCAAGGAACGUACAUAACUAUCUGAUAUAUAUCUCUUAAUUUCUUCAGGAACUAGGGCCUCACCCACGUGGGAAGGAUGGUGGGAGGAUGGUACAUUCAGGCAGAGCACAGGCACCGGAACCCCAGAUUAGUUAGAACCGGAAGACUGACUGAGAUUCCCGGAACAGGACCCUGUUACCUCACCACCAACCAGUCCAGGAAGAUCACAUACCCUGCAGCUCUCCCCCUAAAUACUGCAUAUAAAAACUCUCCCCCAAAACUUAUCAGGCAGUCUGAGCCUUUUGAACAGGCAGGAGUCCCCUUUCUCCUUGCCCAGCCCUGCAAUAAGCCUUUCUCUGUUUCAGACUCCUGCAUUUCCUUUUGUUUGGCUUUACUGUGCCUCCAGCACACAAACUCCUGUUACACAAUCCAGCAGAGCCUGAAGGGCAUGGGUGCACACAGUGUGAAGUGGGGCACGGUGGUCGCUUCGAUUUCCACCCCCCAACGAAGCCGGCAGCGCCUUCCCCCCAUUCUACCCUGAGAUCCCAGGGAGGGGACAUCCCACGAAGUCCCAAGGGCUCUUCUGGGGACGUUCAGAGUUCCCAGGGCAGCGGGAAGAGGACAAUUGCAAAGAGGAAAGGGACUUUUUUUUUUUCCCCUGGCGGGAAUUUUACCUCAGGGCAGAGAACUCUAGAAAUGCAGGGAGAGCGGGUGCAUUUAGGGGAGGCCUAAAAGUCCCUCCCUGUCGCUCAUCCCGAAUGGAUUUCAACUCUUUCCACGACGUUCAAACCUGAAGAGACGGCCGCGGGCCGGCGCCCCCUGGCGUCACGGAGGAAGCGGCUCGGGUCCGGGUGACGAGAGGCGGGGUGGGAGGCGAGUCCUGGGCCCUCCCAGCUGAGUAUGGUCUGGAUCAGCUGUGAGAUAGCACCCCUAGUCGUGGUUCCAUGGUGUAGUGAACCUGUUUUCCGGCUCCCGUAUCCGCGACCAGCGCAGUGUGCACGGAUUUGGCAGGCAGGUGUGAGAUCAUCCCGGGCGUCCCCGCUGGACCCGGGCGACUCUGCCCGUCACUGGCCGUCCAAGGCCCGGCCCUGCCGCCAGGGGGCGAAGCGACCGAACCAUUGCCAUCGCCCUGUCGGGUCCCCUGGGUCUCGCGGGUAAAAGGCAGAGACAGAGACCACAGAGUCCUGCCUCCCCAGGGGGCUUCGCACCGCACGUCUUGUAACUGCACGGCUGUCCUUGUCUCCAUUGGAUGUGGAAAGCCACUGUUAGGCUAAGAUUGAAGCUUGACUCCAGGAAAUUUCGUACUUUCAAGUUCAGCCAGGAAGAGGAGAAAGUUCAAGGAUCCAGCAUCUGGGGAAACCAGGGGUCCCUGACCCACCUCCACCCAGGCCUUUGAGACACCCGCUGAUCUUACAGUUAAGGCUAGACUAUAAGGAAUAUACCUUGUUUGGUUACAUGUGAGUUGGAAACCACAUUCAUUUUGUUAUCAUUAUAAAAUGAAUUUCUAAGGUGUCACCUCUGGACAUUGAGAACACAGUGUAAAAAUUAAUCUGUUUAAGCCUUUUGUGGAACAAGCAUAUGGAUAAGAACUAUCCCAAGAGACUAUAAAACACAAUAAUUUAUAUGUACCCCCAGGACAGUGACAAAAUAAAACUGCUUUCCUCAAUUAU